UCUUUUUGAAUUUUUAAAAGGUGAAAUGAAAAGGUGAAGUGAUUAAUUUAGUAAAUGUAUUACAGGUGGAAUUUUUAAAAAAUUAAGUAAAUUGGGCUUGUUUUGUCAUAGGAGUCGGCUUUGUAUUCACCAACUUGUAAUUUUGAUAUAGUUGGUUCAUUAUGGAUGUGUCUUUUAUGUAUUUAAGACUCCAAGUCUAACUAAGAACAGGAUUAACGGGAGUGCUUAAUUAGGGUUGUUAGUAUUAUUAGGAUUAAAAAUAAAUGGUAAUUAGGUUUAAUGUGAAAAGCCGUUUCUUAUUAAGGGGAAAGAAGCAUCGGGUCUUGUGGGAUACGUGUGGCCUUUUCAUCGAUCAUAUGUUUCUCUCUCUCCACCAAAACACACCGCGUCUCGCGUCUCUCUCACUUUUGUCGACGACUCGUUGUCUCUCUAGCUCUCCUCGUCGUCUCCGCCGGUUUUUCUUGAUCUCGCAUGCAUCGAUCGGCGUCUCCUUGGGUGGACUCUUCGUAUCUCUUGCUCGCCUCGACGGUUCCGCGUCUCUGUAGCUGUCAUCGAUGACUCCGGCUCUGUUUCUUGUUCUUUCCCCGAAGAUGAAUCGAUUGUCGUCUCUAUCGAUCGCUCUCCUCGACGGUGAAAAACCUCAGUCUCUCUCUCGACGGCUCACCUCGACACAGAGAAGCGGAGACAUCUCUCUCUGAGGUUCACCUCGAUGAAAUCAAAAAGGCGAUCGUUGAUGCUCGGUCAAAUGGAAAGGUUAAGCUUAGAUAGUGCUCUUUCUUUGUUUUUUCAAUUUGUUGGCUUCAUAUGAUCUGUCUCUUGAUUCUGAUUCAUUUUGAUUUGGUUAUUUUAUUUGUGUGCUAAGCUGAAGGGAUCAAGAGACAUCAAGGUUCGCCUCAGAAGAGGAUUUGGCUACUGCAAUAUAGAUGUAGGGAUCAAGAGACAUCAAGGUUCGUCUAAGAAGACGAUUUGGCUAUUGCAAUACAUGUCAAACAAGAGUGGCAAAAUCACGGACUAGCUCAGUCAUCAGUCACGGACCCUUGUUGUAUUAUUCUGUCUACAAUAUAGUUUUGUUUUUUUUGUGUAAAUGAGUAGCUGCAAAGUCUUCUAUAAACUUAUUAUUGUAUCACGAGUUUUGUAUUAUUGUGUCACGAGUUUUGCAGCUUCUAUUAUUGUGGCAUU
Long non-coding RNA from Brassica napus (rape), 1179 nucleotides. RefSeq lists it as uncharacterized. The transcript has 3 exons. The record is from RefSeq and is a predicted model, not a curated record. NCBI's taxonomy places the organism in Eukaryota, Viridiplantae, Streptophyta, Magnoliopsida, Brassicales, Brassicaceae.